Molecule: ribosomal RNA, 252 nt
Filed under: uncultured bacterium
Lineage: Bacteria
Description: partial 16S ribosomal RNA
Rfam family: Bacterial small subunit ribosomal RNA
Source: RNAcentral
UACGAAGGGGGCUAGCGUUGCUCGGAAUUACUGGGCGUAAGGGCGCGUCGGCGGGUGUUUAAGUCAGAGGUUAAAUCCCAGGGCUCAACCCUGGAACUGCCUUUGAUACUGGGCACCUAGAGUUCGGGAGAGGUGUGUGGAACUCCGAGUGUAGAGGUGAAAUUCGUAGAUAUUCGGAAGAACACCAGUGGCGAAGGCGACACACUGGCCCGAUACUGACGCUGAGGCGCGAAAGCGUGGGGAGCAAACAGG